Molecule: RNA transcript, 3085 nt
Organism: Panthera uncia (snow leopard)
Lineage: Eukaryota; Metazoa; Chordata; Mammalia; Carnivora; Felidae
Exons: 3
Source: RefSeq, a predicted model, not a curated record
GAGCUGGGGAAAAGUCGGUGGGAGCCCCAGGAAGCCUAGGUGAAGUUAUACUGGAUGCUACUGGAAGGGUGAACACAGCUAGGAGAGACUGAGCCUGAGUUGGGGGGUGGGGGUGAGGAGAUGACCCAGCUCCUGGGGAGACAGUCCCAGGUUCUGCAGGGCUGUGUGAUACCCUGCCUUCUGGGGCUGCACUCCAUGGCACUUCCUACUUGGGUUUUAUGGCAAGGUUCCUUAGCCCCUGAGCGGGGCACAUCUGAGCCUAUAAAACAGGCAGCUUGUCUCUCAUGGGAUCUCUGGGGAGGAAAAAAAUACUGAUAAAGCAUUUCCUAUUCUAAGAAGGAUGCCUGACAUACAGCAAGUGCUGGGGGGGACCGUGGGGAAACUGAGCAAUCACGUAGGACUACGUGGAAACACAGAUGGCCCUAACCUCUCUCCACCCCACUUCCACACUCAGCCCACGCUUCUGGUCCCACCAAACUGCCCACCUCUCUGCAAGUGCCCCCUGCCCCUUGUGGUCUCUGCUUUCAGUUAGUCUAGGUUCUCUGGAUCUGAAAUGCCCUGGCCCUUGCUUCUUGUCACCCUCCAGCCUCCUCUCCUCUAUUUAAGGAUCUCCUCCCCGCCCCCUCCCUCCCGACAGCCUUGGGGGCGGGCUGCCAGCUCCUGGCUGGGCCCUCAGCUGCACACACACCUGUGCUGUGGAAGAAAGUUCUCUGGCUCCACAGAGGGCCAGGCGAGAACGCCCAGUCCCAGCCCUAGAAGCGGGGAAUGUCUCAAUGGCCAGGAAAGGAGGCCGAAGACCGCCCUGGUUCUUCCUAUUCCUGGACCCUGACACCCUUUCAGCCAUCCCCAAAGGGACUGCGGGGUGUGGCAGCUGGCAGCAGCUGUCCAGGGCCAGGAGUCCUUCCAACUGUCACCGACAUUGACCAUCCUGUCAAGGCGUGCCACAGUCACUGCGUGAUGGACUGCUCUUGUCCCUCCACAUCCAUCCCUGCCUUUGCGAUAAAACCCUGCUUUUGGGGUGGAAAUGAAGUGGCUGCACAAUCCCACAGCCCUCCUUGGCAGCCGCGUGCGGCCAUGUGUGGAUUUCAGGAAGCCCGGAAAGGGGACAAGCGUGUUCCUCUUCCCGCCCUUUCCUGCUGCCCCUGGGCUGGAAGGCGGACAAGUGAUUGGCUGCCAUCUCUGACCACGAGACGGAGGCCACGUUGUGAGGACAGAAGAGCAACAGCUGACCACCAAGGACCAGCCCCGGAUUGCCUAUAUCAAGCAUAUGAAGACAGCUACGUCACAGAUCAGGAACUGGAAGGAGGUCCAGGCACUGUCCAUCCCAUCGAGGUCGAGGCACAGUCCAUCCCAUCUCCCUAUAAUACAGAUGAGGAAACUGAGGCCCAGGAAAGGAACAUGACUAGGGCACCCCACACGGUGUGUUCCUGGUGGUAUUUAGUUGCUGGGCUCUGAACACCCAACAGAUAUGUGAACCAGUGUUCCGGGCAAUGAGGUGGUGACAAAAAAAGCAACAGAACUCACAACAGUGCGUGGAGACGGACAGUAACUAGAUUUACUGUGGACAUCGUUUUGUUAACGUAUAAAAAUAUCGAAUCACUAUAAUUGACACCUGAAACUAGGGGGAUAGUAUAUGGCAAUGAUUCUUCAAUUUAAAAAAGCCGGGGGCGGGGUGGCACCUGGGUGGCUCAGUCGGUUGAGCGUCCGACUUCAGCUCAGGUCAUGAUCUCACGGCUCAUGAGUUCGAGCCCCGCGUCGGGCUUUGUGCUGUGCUGACAGCUGGGAGCCUGGAGCCUGGAGCCUGCUUCAGAUUCUGUGCCUCCCUCUCUCUCUGCUCCAACCCACUCGCAUUCUGUCUCUGUCUCUCUCAAAAAUAAACAAACACUUGAAAAAAUUUAAAAAAAAAAAAGAAUUCACAACUGUGUGGUACCAGCUUACGGGUAGAUAGAUAUACAAUGUGAUCCAUGGAAUGGAAUUGAGGGUCCAGAAAUAAAAUCAUGUGUUUGUGGGCAACUGAUUUUCAACCAGGAUGCCAAGACCACCCAAAUGGGGGAAGAAGGAUCUUUUAAACAAAUUACACUGGGGAAACUGGAUAGCCACGUGCCAAAGAAUAAAGUUGGACACUUGUUCUUACACCAUAUAAAAAAAAUUAACUCCAAAUGGCUCAAAGACUUCCUUAUAAGAACUAAAAUUAUAAAAUUCUUAGAAGGAAACCUCGGGAUACCUCAGAUUUGGCAAGGGAUUCUUAGGUAUGACACCAAAAGCACAAGCUAGAAAAGAAAAAAGUAAAUUGGGCUUCAUGAACACUUAAAACCUGUGUAUUUCUGAGGAUGCUAUCAAAAGAGUGAAAAGAGAACCCAAAGAAUAGAAAAUAUUUGCAAAUCAUAUAUCUGAUAAGGGACUUGUAUCUAGAAUAAAGAGCCCUUCCAACUCAUCAGUGAAAAGACACAUGACCCAAUUUUUAAAUGGGCAAAAGAUCUGAAGAGCUAUUUCUCCAAAAGAGAUAUGCAAAUGGCCCAUAAGCACAUGAAAAGAUGCUUGCCAUCCUUAGUCCGAAGGAAACACAAAUCAAAACCACGAGAUAGCCCUUGACACUCACUGGGAAGGCCGCGAUCGAAAAAUCAGGUAACAAACCUAGGGGAGGGUGCAGGGAGAUCUGAACCCUCAAACUCUUCUGGCAGGCACGUAAAACAGUGCAGCCACAUUGGAAAGCAGCCUGACAUCAAAAGUUAAACCCUAGAGUUGCCGUAUGACCUGGCAAUUUCACUCCUGGGUAUGUACCCAAGAGAAAUGAAAACAUAUGUCCACACAAAAAUGCACACACGCUAUGCGUAAUGGCCAAAAGGUGGAAACAAUCCAACUGUCUAACUGAUGAAUGGAUAAACGAAACGUGGUUUAUCUGUACAAUGGAAGGGUGUUCAGCCAUGAAAAGGAAUGGAGUGCCAUUACAUACUGCCUCAACAUGGAUGAGUCUCGAAAGCGUUAUGCCUAUUAAUAAGCAAAGGAACUCAGCCACGGAAGACUACAUCCCAUGUCAUUCCAUUUAUGAGAAAUGUCCAGAAUUGGCAAAUCUGUAGACAAAAUA